CCUACGGGAGGCAGCAGUGAGGAAUAUUGGUCAAUGGGCGGAAGCCUGAACCAGCCAAGUAGCGUGCAGGAUGACGGCCCUACGGGUUGUACACUGCUUUUAUACGGGAAUAAAACAGGGUAUGCAUACCCUCUUGUAUGUACCAUAUGAAUAAGGAUCGGCUAACUCCGUGCCAGCAGCCGCGGUAAUACGGAGGAUCCGAGCGUUAUCCGGAUUUAUUGGGUUUAAAGGGAGCGUAGGUGGAUUGUUAAGUCAGUUGUGAAAGUUUGCGGCUCAACCGUAAAAUUGCAGUUGAAACUGGCAGUCUUGAGGACAGUAGAGGUGGGCGGAAUUCGUGGUGUAGCGGUGAAAUGCUUAGAUAUCACGAAGAACUCCGAUUGCGAAGGCAGCUCACUGGACUGCAACUGACACUGAUGCUCGAAAGUGUGGGGAUCAAACAGGAUUAGAUACCCGAGUAGUC
Molecule: ribosomal RNA, 460 nt
Filed under: uncultured bacterium
Lineage: Bacteria
Description: partial 16S ribosomal RNA
Rfam family: Bacterial small subunit ribosomal RNA
Source: RNAcentral